UACUUACCGCGAUUUGGUAGUGCUGGUAUAGUAGAGAGCUUAGUAUUGCGCGUUGUUGUACACGCCCGAAGGCACUCAUACAGCAGUGUAGGUUAUAUACAAUGGGUAGCAGGUUCUAAACAAGGGGUUUCGGAGCAGGUGCACUAGGGCAGGAUUGUGCUACUAAGCAGCGACCGAGCCACUUAACGCAGUGCUAAGCAAAGGAAAUGGUGUGCUGACAUUUGCCUUAUUUGUUGGAAGCUCUCUCGGUGAGUCGUCACGGGUGCAUAUCGACUUAAUCCAUCAUAGCUGUCCGUGCCAAUCCGUACCACUGGGCCGAGUAUUUGGCCUCAUUCGUGUAAUCCUAUAUGCGCUUGAAAGGGAUUUACGCAGAUGUCUCUAUUUGGAGAAGGCAACGUCUUAUAUUGACGCAUUGUUAAAAGUGUCCCAAUGCCCUUCGGGGUGCGAGAAGAAGGUGGAAUACUAUCACAAAGGCCACUCUUGUUACGUUGGAGAUGAUCAUCACGAACAAUUUACCCCGCCGAAUGGGACUUAGUACAUAUUUUAGUGUCCUACGUACUUGAACCCAACAAACAAAGCCCUCAAAGCCACACCACAAGAAACUGAUAAAGCUGGCCACACACCACAGAAAGACGGACUGCUGCUGCACACUCACCGCACCACUAGCAACAGAUAAGCGUUAACAACGUACAACCACACCACCGUAUGCUCCCCUCUUUCCGGUGACAGCUGUGCAGAGCACAGCUUUUCGAUUUCCCAUACUAAUCAUCAUGAAUUGCGCGGUUGGGAAUGAACAAAGGAGGCGGACUUUUGGAAGCGUGGUAAGGACCGCAUGUGUACUCCACACUUUCGACUGGCAGCAUAUCACAACACAUCGCUAGAACACAUAUCGAGACCCCCAGACGGCAUGGCUCCCGGAAGUUGGAGCUAUUUGGUGGCCCAUUUUACAAGACCACUGCCUGCAUCUGCUAUUAAUACACGCGUGCUGGACCAUUUAAACUGCUCGGGUUUAGAGGAGCAUUGCAAUUCUGAGCAAUAAUUCAAAUGACCUCAAGAUGUAGUAAUUAAUAUAACGGUCUAUACCUAACGGUAAACAUUUAAGGAAAUCCUAAUCCAACGAGGCAACCAAGGUUUCGUCAGGCGUGCUCCGCGAAAGAGAACACCGACGGAGGUGUGACCACGUGUACACUACACGGUAAAAUUAGAUCCUUCCUAGAUUGUCCCCAAACAAGUUCCGCACACGUUCCGGGUGGCCGUCGCCACAUCGCAAGGUCGUCCAGAACAUAGCUACACUUCCUGCUUCCCGCGCCUCUACACCGGAAGAGUUCAAGGCAGGAGUUGGUGUAGAUCUUGCCGAAAAGAAACCAGCCCGUUGGUUGGCUACCGUCCAACAGCUGGCCACGGCACCAAAGGCGUUUAUAGCGUUGUAGCCAAAGUAAAUGACACCACAAAGCGAAUUUAUGAAUUCGCAACAAAUACUACCGACACACCACCGGGCAACACGCGAAGGUGAGAAGAGAGCAGAGGGUGAGGUAAGAGAGAAUGAUAGAGAGAGAGAGAGAAAGAGAGAGAGAGCGAUUGAGAGAGGGACGAAAAAAAUCAAACAACCAAACCAUUUACACUAAAGCGACGGUGAUGAUGAUGGUGGUGGUUGAUGUCAUUGCUAUAUUUGAACCACACAACCACUUCUCGCAUGAGCAACGAGCAACGCACACACAACAGUUGGCAACCAUACCCCUGCCCCAAGCCACCCUCUUUAGUCACCCUCUCUCCCUCUUCUCUCUUUCACUUGCAAUCAUCGAUGACUACGAAGACGGCAACGACUACGACAGAUGGCAGAUGGUGGAAUGCACUAAUAAAUAAGGCGGAUUUCCAGCGGGUCCAAAAUGCAGUUGUUUGGCUGGUGGAAGCAGCGCAAGAGCCGUUUCCCUUCAUCUGGUUCAGGUGGCCCGCGACAGGCGACGAGAGUUGACGAUCACCCGCAUGCCGCAUUGGAAAUGGAUACAUGGCACACCCCCCCCCCCCCCCCCCCCCCUUCCGGCUCUUCCAAUACUACCGGCACAUUCCGAUGUGUUUAAAAUUAAAAUCUUACGUAUCGUGGACGAUGCGAUCAUCCUUAUACUCCGUGAGGCAAAGAAUAAAAAAAAAAAAAUAAGGAAGGACAGUGGCAAAGAAGUAACAACAUGUACAUCCCCCUCCUCCGCAGAUGAAAGAUGGGCCUGGCUGCACCGUGUGUGUUGGAUGUGUGUUUUGGUAAGGAUUUUCACCGGUUGGGCUGGGCGGGUCGGUUAUGAAAAUAAACUCCCAAAUAUCGUCAAACAA
Anopheles gambiae (African malaria mosquito) is the source of this 2322-nucleotide long non-coding RNA. RefSeq lists it as uncharacterized. The transcript has 2 exons. The record is from RefSeq and is a predicted model, not a curated record. NCBI's taxonomy places the organism in Eukaryota, Metazoa, Arthropoda, Insecta, Diptera, Culicidae.